AAGAUUUUAUGUUAUAAAUAAAACUUUAAACCUUCAAAGUUUAAGAAAUAAAUUAUUUUUUAUAAAUCUUA
Molecule: transfer RNA, 71 nt
Filed under: Pseudomyrmex feralis
Lineage: Eukaryota; Metazoa; Arthropoda; Insecta; Hymenoptera; Formicidae
Description: tRNA-Trp
Source: RNAcentral